CUCCAGUCAACUUCUCGUUCCAAACUCAUUCUACAUACACUUCGAAGGGAGGCUGAAGAAGCUGAAGGCGAUGUCUGUACAGCUACUUAUUUAUUUGAUGCUUACUUAAUUUGUACUUAUUUUACAUGGGGUAGCAAAAAUUAUGCUGCAAUGCCAUUGUGAGUGCCCCAUUCACACAGGUAGUGUCUAUAGAAAAACGCUAAGGAUAAAAUCAGUGAAUCAAAGUUGUUGGCAUAUAUGCAUUUCUAGAUAUUGUCAAAUUACUUCCCAAUGGAUUCUUCUGACAUCCUUUAUGGACAAUAUAUGAAACAAUCUGUUUUUCUCUGCCUAUGUUAGAUAUCUCUAUUUAUCAAUCUAUUGAUCUAUCAACCUAUUGAGCUACUCAUCUAUCUGUCUGUCUAUCUAUCUAUCUAUCUAUCUAUCUAUCUAUCUAUCUAUCUGCCUAUAUGUCUGUCUGUCAUCAUCUUUAUCACUCAAAUAGGUGAAAAAUUGUGUCUCUAUUGGCUUUUCAUUUUUAUUUCUAUUAUUAAAAGAGAAUUUGGACAUCUUUUCAUAUGUUUAAAAAACAAUGAGUUUUCCUUUCUAUAAAAUAUGUAUAGUGUAACAUAGUUUUUUAUAUACACACACAAUCUGAGUAUCAACUAGUUUUUAGGACUUCAAUAUAUGUUACAAUAGAUCAACAGCUACAAUUCUUGAUAUAAUAAAAGUUACAUUUUUUUUCCUAAUUUGUAAUUGAUCUUUGAACUCAUUUGGUGUCUUUUUUUUUUUGGUUGCAAAGGUGUGUGUGUGUGUGUGUGUGUAUGCAUGUGUGUGAUCUAGCUUUUCACUUAUUUCUUCUCAACUGUGACAUAGUUUUAGGGAGACAUUUCCUACUUUGAGAUUCCAUCACAUUUUAUGCUAGUUCUUUUAUGAUUUUUAUUGAUUUAUGUUAUACUUUCUUGUUCAAAUCAAAAUUACUGUGGUUUAAGUUAUAAAGUAAUGAUUCAAAUGAUUACUUUCCAGUUGGCUAUCCAGCAAUAUUUAUGGAUCAUUCCCAGGGAUGAAAGCACCUGUCAUCAAUCCUAUGCACUAACAUGGACGGGUCUCCACUGGACUCUGAGCUGCGCCCCAGCCAUGACCUUCCUCUCUGUAAGGUGACACUGCGGAGGGUGCCUCAGAGCAGCAUCACUGCUUUGGACACAGCUUGUGCGCCCCAGGAUGGGGUCUACCCAACCUCUCUCUUGGAUCUUGAUUUCCUUCCAGAUUGAGAGCACAGUGGCCACAGCAGUCCCAGCAUUUCUUAAAUCCCGGACUGUCUUGCUUUUUUCAAGGCGAGAUCUGGGGCCCUGCUUAGUCCUUAUUCCCAUUUCCCAGGGCUUUACCGCAGGUCCCUUGAGUUUGGUGCCAUGAGGAUUCCAGGGCCGAUUUCCAACCUGGCAGCAUCUGAAGGGGCUCUGGACCCUUCUGUCAUAUGACCUGAGGCGGAUUUCAGGCAACAGUGGAGUCUGAGAGGGUUGACUCUCUCUAAGACAAGGCAGAACUGGGCACACCCACGGUUAAUCCAAGACAGUGUGGCCCUGUACCUCCUGGGCCCUCCCAAUUACAGCUAAAACAUUGCAGCAUCUCAGAAGCAUGGGGAGUCCCUGAAAGGAAGAAAGAAGGAGGUGGGCACCCUGGAGGCCUCUGCUCAGCACCUUCCAUGAUCAAUCUCUCAGCAUCAGUAUAGUGUGAUGUCCCCAGCACACAUGUGGCAUAGAAGGAAGAUGGUGGGUGCCUCCGCUCAGCACCCUCCAUGAUCAAGCUGUGAGCAUCAGUAUAGUGUGAUGUCCCCAGCACACAUGUGGCACAGAAGGAAGAUGGUGGGUGCCCUGGAGGCUUCUGCUCAGCACCUUCCAUGAUCAAGCUCUCAGCAUCAGUAUAGUGUGAUGUCCCAGCACACAUGUGGCACAGAAGGACACAUGGCAGCCCCACAGCCAGAUCACACUCAAUAGUGAAGGGCUGAGAGCUUUCCCUCUAACAUCGAGAGCAAGGGUAGGCUGCCCUCCACCAAACACACACUUCUAUUCAGCAUCAAAGUGGAAGAGCUGGCCAGAGCAAUCAGGCAAGAAAAGGAAAUAAAAGGCAUCCAAAGACAAAAAGAAGUAGUUAAAUUGUCUGUUUUCUGAUGACAUGAUCUAAUGUAUAGAAAACCCGAAAGACUCCACCAAAAAACUAUUAGAACCGACAAAUAUCUUAUAACAUUUGUUUCUCUUUAGUAAUAGUAUUUAAAUUUCAUAAUUUUCAUAUUAAACUUUUAAUAACAUUUCUGUAUAUUCUAUUGGACUUUUAAUACAGAAUUAUAUGCACUGGAUAAUGAGGGUGUUAUUCCUUUUUGCAAAAGCUGAUAGAUUUCAUUAUUUUUUUCUUCCUUUAUUAAAUGGGUUAGCACUUCAGCAAUGUACAGAAUAAAUGUGAGCAGAGAAGGCAUCCUCAUCUUGAUUGAGUGAGAAAGAUUUCAACAUUUCUCCAACAAAUAUCAUGAUUCCAUUAUUUUGUAUAUACCCUUUCCUUAAGAUGAAGGGUAUUUAAUUAGAUUUUUAGAAUGCUAUUUUAAAAUUAAUUAUGAAUGACUUUUUAACUAUAUCAAUUUCAUUGUUUAAGGAUAUUUGAAUUUAUAUUCAUGAAUGAGUUUGGUCUGUAUUUUAUUAUUAUCACUUCUCUGUCAAGAUCUGGCAUCAGUUUUUUUUUCUGGCAUGUUAAAUUGGUUAGAGUGUAUUUAAUAAUUCUCUGUUGUCUGAAAAAUUUUGUAAAAAAUUGGUAUUAUUCCUUCAUUAAAUAUUUGGUAAAAUUCACUAAUAUAGUUUCUAUGGUCUGCAGUUUUCAUAAUAGUUUCAUUUUAUUUACAAAUU
This 2867-nucleotide long non-coding RNA is filed under the name Homo sapiens (human). RNAcentral describes it as "HSALNT0157394". Lineage: Eukaryota; Metazoa; Chordata; Mammalia; Primates; Hominidae. The record is from RNAcentral.